Molecule: long non-coding RNA, 3028 nt
Filed under: Panax ginseng (ginseng)
Lineage: Eukaryota; Viridiplantae; Streptophyta; Magnoliopsida; Apiales; Araliaceae
Description: long non-coding RNA (PGIN_LNC008374)
Source: RNAcentral
UCUUUUCAUACUCAGAUAUCCAAUAUUAGCCAUUAGUUAGACACUUUGUAUACCAAAGUUUAGAAACAAUAUUACUCUUAGGCAUUUUAUCGAGCACGUUAUGUGCACACAUUAACUUAUCUCAACUCUUGAUCUUAAAUGGUUAAUUAUACAUAGAAUAUGAUAACACAUAUCUAUACUUAUUACAUAUGUCAAAACAUAUUUUUAAUCAUCAAAAUAUACCAUCACCCAAAAUCUUAAUUAUAAAACUCAUCUUCACAAUUUCUUUAACAAAACGUUGUUUUCGUUUUUAACGUAACUCCUUCGUUACAUGUCCGUUUUUGUUCCUUCUUAUAUAGAAAUAACCCUUACUCAAUGUACUACAACUUCAUCUAGGCCUUAAAGUCAUACCCUUAUCCAUCUAAACCAGAUUUUGCAAUUCAUCAACUAGUCUAGAAAAUUUUAUUUUCUGGACAUCCUUACUGAACAAUUUAUUUCAGACAUGAUCCGGCCCAUAAAAUGGCUCAAUCUUGCGAGUCUGGCUAGUAAACAUCCAUAUCUACAACUUUUCAGUUUAAAGUUUCUUCAUUUUCAAAACACACAAAUUUAUAUGAAUUGUUCAAAGUCAGAAACCAUAACAGUUUUGAUUUUCUAGGCAGAUUAUUUUCCCUUCGGACCAGCCUUACUAAAACAGACAUUGCAAGAAAUCUACAAAGAGUUUCAUGUGAUUCCACUUUCAGAAUAUAGCUUACUUCCAUAUUUCGAUUUGAUAUAAGACUCACUUUCUAACUCAUUAUACCCAAAGAGGUAUGAAUUUCAUAAGAUCUGUCCACAAUUACUCAAAACUUACGAAUUUUGUUCUUCAAAUUUUCUUUCCAUUUAAUUUUCUUUCUUGAAUCCUCUUGUUUGAUUCUUGAUAAUCCAAGAUUAAACCAAUACAAACAGGAUUAAGCAUGAUCUACUACCCUAGAACAUAAAUCUACCCAAAAAAAUCAAAGAUUAAAUAAGAGUUUAGAAGUUACCUUCUUCUAGCUUUUUCUUCUUCUUCUUCUAGCUCAUCUCAAUUCCUCUAUUUAUCUCUAUCUCUCUCUAUUUCUCUAUUUCUCUCUUCCACCAAGACUCUUGCUAUAAACAAAAACUCUAGAAUUUCUUCUUGUGUAACUCCUCAUUUGGGUAAUAGUUUUGUUAAUAAUUAAUAUAAUAGUAACCCCCACUAAUAACAUAAGGCUUAUGUUACAAAUCUCUUACAUGCAUGAUCAAUAUCACAUUAAGACAUCUUUGUAGCAUAACCUCACUUUUCCAUCAUUAGUUAAGCAAUCCAAUGGUUAGGCUAUUCAUUAUAUACUAUUAUUACUUUACUAUGACAUAAAACAUAUUUCUAAUGUCACACUUAAAUAAUUUAAAAUUAUUUUAUUAGUACAAUCAAUUAAACUUUAAUAAUAAAAUGCACAUCAAUUAUAAAAUUAUCUAUCAAAUUAUAACGCUUAAUUAAAUUAAGUCAUAACAACCAACAUCAAAUAUUUAUUAUUCAAUAAAUAAAUCAACUAAAAAAUUUAUCUAACUCAAAUAAAUAUUUUAAUUAAUUAUAAAAAUUACAUUCGUUACAGUUGCGCUAUCAAUGUAUAUGUGGCGAAAUGGUGAUUCUUUUCUCAUGGGUAUGUUUGAUAGUUAGAAACUACUAAGAUUAGUGAGAUUAUAUUAGGAUUAGGCGCGGUUCUUAAAACUAAUGCAUAUGGUAAGUUCGUGACUCAUAAUAAUAUGGUAUGUUUUGAACCCCUCAGCGAAUGGACGUCUAUGGUCUGACUAGGAUAAAUUCUUAAACUCAUAUUAUUGUGGCAAGUUUUUGAACUUCUAAUGUGCGGUAAGUUAGAUGAACUGGAGUAUAAUUAAGUGUGAAUGGAGUAUUGAGGAUGAUAGGAAUAGAUAGACCUAUUAAGCAACGGAUCAGUAUAGAAAGUGGAGACAUAAGUUUUUCCAAAUCUUCUAGCUAUGCUAGAAUUCAAAGUUUUUGACAUCAAGCUAAAUUCGCACUAUGUGCCUUUUUAAAAUGAAUUUUUACUCUCAACGCAUGGUGACAAAUGUGUAUGUGUGGACUUCAGGACACUGACACAUCGUUACCUGUUGAGAUAUGAUAUCACUAAAACUGAUUUUUAAAGAUUUUUGAACCGUUUAAAGAAUAGUCUAUGCUAAUUGUUUCGGCUAGACGAAAAAGAUUUGAAAAUAUCAAAAUGUAUUUUAUAUCAUUAAUGCAUCAUGGAACCUGGUGCAAAGAUGAUAAAAACGAUGGAGUUGUCAAUGCAGAAUUUCUUAGUGUUGGAUGUGAUCUAAGGAUCGUCAGCCCACUAUGGUAUGAUGGAGUAUGACAAAGUCACAAAAUGACGGAAUCCUCAAACGGACUGUAAAUACAGUGCGGUAUCAUGACGUCAUAAAAAGAUUUUUGAGAUCUUUUUUUUGAUAUGGGAAUAUAUAUAUAUAUAUAUAUAUGUGUAUAUGUAUAUUUCGAUUGAUGUCUGAAUUGUUGUAGAAGUCUAUGCUUUUUGAUUCAGCUAGACGAUUAUUGAAAGAUGAUCAUGAAAUUUAAACGCUCAUUUAAAAGUUAUGCCAAACCAAAUUGUUUUGGUGCGGAUUUAGAUGUUGAAAAGUUGAGGUGAACAACCCUAUAAGGGGACAUGUUUUUGGGGACAAUGGUUCCGAGCGUAACGCAUAUAGUCGUUACAAAACACUGCGUUGCGGCCCAACGUAGUGGUACAAUAGGCUGGCCACCUAGUGUACGUGAGGAGGAUGUUUUCAGUCUUUGUGAUUGAUAAACACUCUGAUUUGCAGUGUGAAGGAUUGAGUUGAAGCACUAGUAAACUGAGAAUAGAGUUCACGGUCUUGUGACCCCUCCGCAUGAUUUGGAAUCUUUUAAAUACGUGUUAUUCAUAUCGCUUCCCAAUUAUUGAGCAAUUGUGGAAGAUUAUUGUUAUUCAAGAAAGAAAUAAAAUUUCAGAAAAGAAGAAAUAUGUGAAACUCUUAGAUGAUGAAGAGGUGAUGAAUAUGGUGAUCUUAG